AGUGAUGAAAAGAGGGAACAUGUCCUUAAAGGAGUCAUUUGUCAUGACUCUCAGGAUUGGAACCACCCAUCUAAGACCUGAAUGGCCUGUCUGGACAGCUGGCCCACCCUUGAACCGUUCCAGUGACAGGAACUCACUACCAUUGUCAUCUUGAUCCACUCUGACUGUCAGCAAGUUCUAAUGUUAGAUGGAAAAUCUCCUAUCUUCAACCCACUGGUUCUACUGCCAGCCUCAAAACCCUGCAGACCAGACAAAUCCAUCUCACUGGAGGUUAAGGAUGCACAAUAGAAUGACACAUUGAUUCUACCUGGGGAAAUCCAGGGAGACUUCCUGGAGGAAGCAACAUGAUGCUGCAGUUAAUAAGAUUUCUUCACACAGAAUUGGAAAGGUAAGGGCAUUCCAGGCUGAGGGAACUGUGUGGGUGAUUACACAGCAGUAAUCACUCGCAGAUCUGCAAGGAACAUGGGGAAAGCGCGGGAAGAAUGACACCUUGAAAAGUCAGCUGGAAGCAGAUCGUGGAGAGCCUUUCGAGUCGUGCUGGAAACUACGGGAAACGGGCAGCGACUGGAAGUUGAGAAACACAGGAGUGAAAUGAUUAGCACCUUUUAUUUGGGGCUUAUUUCUUUGUUUUGUUGUUAUUUACAACCAGUAAGAACAUUUAGCAAGAUUGUCAAAUACAAGGUAAACAUACAAAACUAGCGUUACUAAACACCAGCAACAAAUAACUAAAAAUGUCAUUUUUAGAGGAAACAAUUUUCAGUAGCAACACAAUUAGAAUAUAACUUGGGAAAAUCUCACAAAAGAUGGGAAGUGUCCUUUUGGAGAAAAUUUAAAAGCUAACUAACGAAUAGAAGAGAAGUUGUAAGCGGAGAGAGAAACCACGCUCGCAAAUGGAGACAGUAAAUGGAUCUAUAAAGUCAAUGCAACUCCGAUGCAAAGCUCUCCAAGGUUAUUUGUGGAAGUUUACAGGCCCGUCAGUCCUCACAUUCACUGGAAGAGACAGGGCUGAGUCUGUCAAGAUAAUUUUGAAGAAGAGAAAGAGUAGAUGUCAAAACCCCCCAGAUGUCAAAACAUUUUCAAACUAAGUGACCUGAGAUUGGCCCAGAUCCAUUAGUUGUGGUUUUAUAUUUCUCUGUCGGGUUAAAGAAAUGGUGUGGAGAAGAGAGACAGGGAAGAUGACAGUGAUGACAAAAGGGAGGUGAGCUCCUCCACGGCUUCUCACCCAAUUUACAUCAGAGUGACCCCGACUCUGAAACAAAGACAGAAGCUAUUUUUGAAAGAACGCUUGCAUCACAGAAGCCUGGCCUGAGGAUAAUAAUUCUGAGCAGUGGGAGUGAAGUCUCAACCAGCCACCUGGCAUCAGCCAAUCAUCUGAUAUGUGUGAAAGACAAAGGCAUCAGAAGAUGAACUUGGACGCCCACUGCCCUGGGUCUCAAACAGCCUGUGACAAAGUUGAGAGGCAGAAGUCACACAUGAAAUAACUAAAGAAGCUACUUCAACGCAGCACCCUCCUAAGUACAAUAAAGUACAAGCACAAAUCCAAAAACUGCUCAGAGUUACACGUAGAGGGGUAAGCACAGGCAGAUGUGCUCAGGGCAUUCUGCGGUGGGUCUGGGAAGUGUGUGGCUAGAGAGGGAGCCACUGCUGUUGACAGUGCUGCCGCUCAUGUUACUGGUCCACCACGACUCAGACGUACAACAGAGCAGCACCAAAACCAUCACCGAGCGCUGCCGAUUGCAUCUAAAUUGUGACAAAUUUAUCAAAAUACAACUUCAAAAUCUGUCCUCCUCUAUAAGAAAUUAGCUCAUGAUCUUGUCUAAGAUUUAAGAAAAUGGUAGACUUGUCUUCCUACUUCUUGUUCUCUUUCUUGUGUGUUUUAUGAUGCUGUAACGAGCUAGGAAUUUCCUCCCCCUGGGAACUCUUUAUUUUGGGCUUUAGAUCAGUCACGACUGUUGCUUGUGAGGUGCAGAUCACCAACAUGGAAGGAAGAGAGGUUAAUACCAGGCUGAGGAUGUGAUUCCUCUCACUGAGAAGCUUACUAGCUUAUUGUUCAUAGAAUGGUGAGUCCCAGGAGGAUCUGAAAAGAAAUAUAUACUGGAGCCUCAGGAUGUUCUCUUGCAGAGGCAUUUCCUACACUGUGCAUCAUUAGAACUAUAAACUUAGCUCACACAUGAACCUACUAGAGUUUUCUAAACAUUUAUAUCACACUAGCUCACAGAACUAACUUUAUAUAUCCAGGAACUAAGAUUCCAACCAGAAGUACCUCAGCUGGGUGUUGGCUCAUUCAUAUUCCAACCAAAAGGUAAUGUACCAUAAAAUGCAUAUUGAUAAGUCUGCAAUGAUUAAGGCAACCACAUAAAAUCUCAUUACUUAAAAGAAAUUAAACUCACUGUGGUUUAUAGAGCAAUAUUCCUCAUCCAUGUCCAACAUCAGGUCGUUCACAUGCCAGUCACAGUUCAAUCUAAUUUGCUGUAAUUUGGUAAAUGGGAGGUAAUCAACAAGUCCUCAGCUCCAGCUCUGAAGCAGCACACAAUACAUUCCUGAAAUACAUUAAUAAAGAGAGGAUGGGGGAAAGGCUUCCUGACAAUAACUGAC
Equus caballus (horse) is the source of this 2595-nucleotide long non-coding RNA. The record is from Ensembl. Lineage: Eukaryota; Metazoa; Chordata; Mammalia; Perissodactyla; Equidae.